GUGGGGAAUAUUGGACAAUGGGCGAAAGCCUGAUCCAGCCAUGCCGCGUGUGUGAAGAAGGUCUUCGGAUUGUAAAGCACUUUAAGUUGGGAGGAAGGGCAGUAAGUUAAUACCUUGCUGUUUUGACGUUACCAACAGAAUAAGCACCGGCUAACUUCGUGCCAGCAGCCGCGGUAAUACGAAGGGUGCAAGCGUUAAUCGGAAUUACUGGGCGUAAAGCGCGCGUAGGUGGUUCAGCAAGUUGAAGGUGAAAUCCCCGGGCUCAACCUGGGAACUGCAUCCAAAACUGCAUGACUAGAGUACGGUAGAGGGUAGUGGAAUUUCCUGUGUAGCGGUGAAAUGCGUAGAUAUAGGAAGGAACACCAGUGGCGAAGGCGACUACCUGGACUGAUACUGACACUGAGGUGCGAAAGCGUGGGGAGCAAACAGGAUUAGAAACCCUUGUAGUCC
Molecule: ribosomal RNA, 450 nt
Filed under: uncultured bacterium
Lineage: Bacteria
Description: partial 16S ribosomal RNA
Rfam family: Bacterial small subunit ribosomal RNA
Source: RNAcentral